This 252-nucleotide ribosomal RNA is filed under the name uncultured bacterium. Its description in RNAcentral is "partial 16S ribosomal RNA". It matches the Rfam family "Bacterial small subunit ribosomal RNA", at positions 524 to 776 of the family's 1533-position model. The record is from RNAcentral.
UACAUAGGUCCCGAGCGUUGUCCGGAUUUAUUGGGCGUAAAGCGAGCGCAGGUGGUUUAUUAAGUCUGGUGUAAAAGGCAGUGGCUCAACCAUUGUAUGCAUUGGAAACUGGUAGACUUGAGUGCAGGAGAGGAGAGUGGAAUUCCAUGUGUAGCGGUGAAAUGCGUAGAUAUAUGGAGGAACACCGGUGGCGAAAGCGGCUCUCUGGCCUGUAACUGACACUGAGGCUCGGAAGCGUGGGGAGCAAACAGG